Sinocyclocheilus rhinocerous is the source of this 144-nucleotide long non-coding RNA. RefSeq lists it as uncharacterized. The record is from RefSeq and is a predicted model, not a curated record. NCBI's taxonomy places the organism in Eukaryota, Metazoa, Chordata, Actinopteri, Cypriniformes, Cyprinidae. The transcript is spliced from 4 exons.
CAAACAAGAGAAAACGUAUCUCAAACCCCAUUGCACACCGUUUCCAGGAAACGUGUUGUUCAACCCCGAAACCGUAGCAAAAUGUUGCGCACCGGUUUGACCUUGAACGUGCCCCAGGCGUCUAUGGUGGUUUUUGCAGUCCAU